This is a long non-coding RNA of Peromyscus maniculatus bairdii (prairie deer mouse), 3746 nucleotides long. RefSeq lists it as uncharacterized. NCBI's taxonomy places the organism in Eukaryota, Metazoa, Chordata, Mammalia, Rodentia, Cricetidae. The record is from RefSeq and is a predicted model, not a curated record.
AAGUAAAAUAUGAUGUCUUCAUUUUGAAAAUACUGAAUAUAAAACUCUUUUAAUUAAAAAAACAUUUUGGCCCUACCAACAUCUGUUAUGGAGGCAGGGAGACACCUAUGAAACCCCGCCCCUCCCUGAGUAGACAGGCAUUUGGUGGUCACUGGGGAUGAGACAUUUUCUUCAACUGUGCAGUACCUGGUAAGGUACCUGUACUCCUAUAAAAAGCUUCUCACUGGUUCCUGUAGGGAACCACAGUGAAACUCACUGGGCCACCAAAAAGUUUUUACAGAUGUGAAACUAGAAUGGGGACUGGUAGGGAAGGAGCAGGGGAUCAGCAGGAGGGGGACGACAAGGGGCUGCCAGGAAGUGUGACUGUGAUCAAGGCACAUGAUAGAUGUGAGUGGGAAUAUAAUGAAACCCAUCACUGCGUAUACUUUGUAUAUGCUAAUAAUUUUUAUUCUAAGUAUUUUGUUUAUACUACACCACACCACACCAUAGCAAUUUCUCUUUGCCAUUAUCAAAUACUCUCUUUGUUGAGUAAAAUUAAAUUCCCAUCCCUCUCAACCUUUCAUGCAUCCUGACUUUGGGAAAAGGAUUUAGGAUCCAGUCAAUGCCAGUGUUUAAAUGGAAGUUAGCUGAGCCAUAUUGUCCAAGUUAAAAUUUACAAAUUUAAUUUAAUUUACACAUUUAAUUCAAAACCAAUGAAGAUGUUAUUGAAAGACAGCCACCUGGAUAAGCUGGGCUUGGAAAGGGGUGCAGCCAGUCCGUCCCAGUUCAGAUUUGUGCUCCAGGCGCUGGUCUCUAGACAGAGCAUCUCUUUAAUACACUGUCCACCUUGGUUCAUAAAAACCUCCUUUUCCACCUUCAAAUUACUCCAAGGCCUACUUUCCCAUAGAAUUCUGAGGAUUUUGCAACUUGCUUGUGAAUCUUAGCUGUUUAGGAAUUUGUUCUAGAACUCUGAAAUGUCUUCAAUUUAUAAAUCUGUUGCCCUGGUGAUAGAUUCUUUCAAACUUCUAAGUCUGCUGUAUGUAAUCUGUCUUAUGGGCUGCCAUUUGAAUUUCUCUUGGCUUUAUUAAGAAGUAAUGGGAAGCCUGUGUACCCCUUAAUAGAUUCCCCUGGUAGUGGCUCUAACACAACUGUUGUAUAAUUUCACAACAAAGACAUCACCAUUAUAAAGGAAUCAUCAGUCCAAGAGAAGACUGCCACUAAGAAAAUGUAACACAAAACAACCACAGAAGAGUAGGGGAAAUAGGAAGACAUAUAUGUCCAAUACAACACAUGUACAAAUGACAUUGUAGAAACACCCAAAAAGAAGAUGUGAAAGCAAGCUCCUAACUCCUCGGUAUCUGCAACCAGUGAUAGCUGUUGAAACGCUGAACAAGGGAUUUUUUUAAUCUACUUUUAAAAAUGCCCAGUUCCUUCAAAGGAGUAAACAGAUGAGUGAAGCAGGGACGUCAAUUCAGGGCCUGCACACAGAAGUCAGCAACACAGACGAGAAAUUUAACCACCUGGAAGAGAACUUAAGCAAAUAAAUUUAAGUUCUGAGAGGGAAAAACAAAGUCAAAACAGAAAUACGAGGAACAAAACACUUCUGUAAGUCAGACUCAGUUGAGUUUUGGUCCCUCCAACCAACGAGUCAGCAGUGGGAAGAAAUCCCAUUUUGUCGUUCCACCUGAUAUGGAGGGGAGUGGCCAGCCACCUCCCAGAGAGAGAAUCUACUGCUAAAACCUGAAUAACGUGAGGUCCUGAGAUCGGGGAAUAACUGCACCACGUAAGGAGCCUGAGUUUGCUUUGUUCCCAGCCUUAGGGUAGGUAAAGGCUCCAGGAAAGAACCGUGGAGAGCAGGAGGGUUAGGUGCUGAGAGGUCAAAGGUUAUAUAUAGUCUGCAGGAGGCUUAGCUCAGAAAGGGGAGUGCCUGGGGAAAGACAGGCCCUCCUCAGGGGCUAGGAGCAGGUAGUGUCACCGAGGACGAGGACAGCCCUGGUUUUGACUCUGAGCCUGAGGCCAGUGGUGGAAUAACAUCCGGAUCAACUUACCUGUUCUUCACUGCUGAGGCUGCAGGCGUGUCUUGAUACCCACAGCUACAUCCACAAGGCAGGUGACUGGUACUCAGGACAGCCUCUGUCUUUACUGUCUCCACGCUGCUACGGCUUCCCCUACUCCCAAUGCACUUGGGGGACACUUGCCACCCCAGGAAUGAUUAUCUGGGGAGUCUUGGGAGGAUCAGAGAGCCUGCCCAGCCCACAGACAGAACUAAAUGUGUCCACCAAGGCCCCUGGUAUACAAAGAAACUCUACCAAGGUAAGACAGUUCUGGUGAACGGUGGUUACUUGUUCAGUCCAUACCCAGCAACAGCAUAAACUAUAGAAGAGACACAUGAAUGGAGUCCAGACAUUCAGCUGAGCCCCAGCCAGCCAGAGUCUGUGUAAUUGGCGAUCUCCACGUCUUGAAUACACAGAAAGCUAUUCUAAUACCACAUCCUUUUUUCUCUGAUAUUUUUUGUUAUUUGUUUUCUGAAAUAGGUCUAUGUAGCUUUGGCUGGCCUGGUACUCACUUAUGUAGCUCAGGCUAGCCUUGAAUUCACAGAGAUCUGUCUGCCUUUGCCUCCCAAGUGCUGGCAUUAAAGGAUGUGCCAUCAUUCCACGCCCUUCUGACUCUUCUGACCCCUCCCACUUUUAUUAUUUUACUGCAUUUUUAGCAGUAUUUUACUUGUGGGUUUGUUUGUUUUGUUGUUGUUUAGUUCCUUCCUUCCUUCCUUCCUUCCUUCCUUCCUUCCUUCCUUCCUUCCUCCCUUCCUUCCUUCCUUUCUUUCUUUUCUACUGUUUCCUCCUCCACCACUCUACAUUUAGUAAUAUUUUUGUUUUAUCUUCCUGAUUCUUUAACAGCCUGAUAUUUAUUCUUGUCUUAUAUUUGCCUAACUUUGCUUUUGACAUUUUUAAAUUUUUCUAAAUUUUAAUCCUUUGCUCUCCCCCAUCUCAUUCUUCUCCAUCUUUCUCUUUUUCUUUCAUCUUGCUUCUCUUCCUCUCCUUCCCUAUCUCCUUUUAUCUCAUUCAUUUAUUGUCUCCACACUUAACAUAAACAAUUUUGAACUUGAGAGUACCGACUAUAGUAGUUUGCCAUUUUCAAUGCUGUGGUCAUUGAUGCUUUAUUUGGGGCUUUAAUCGAUUUUAAGUGCUUUUUUUGUUUUGUUUUUUUUUUGAGACAGGGUUUCUCUGUAUAUUUUUGGUGCCUGUCCUAGACCUCGCUCUGUAGACCAGGCUGGCCUCGAACUCACUGAGAUCCGCCUGUCUCCGCCUCCCAAGUGCUGGGAUUAAAGGUGUGCACUGCUGCCACAUGGCGAUUUUAAGUGCAUUUCUAUAUUUUGAACGGUUUGAUGAUGUUGCUGUUGCAUCAAUUAAUUGUCUCUUCCCUGAGUAGUAGUGCAGAUGGAUUAUCAUGAGUAAGUUGCUCAAUAAAAAGAUGCCUAAUAAACCCAGAAGAGAUAUCUAAACCAACAGAUACACAAAUUAUAACACAGAAACACAAAUAAAAAAUGAAGAAGUAAGACGAUUAUAAUACCUGCAAAAGGUCAGAACUCAACAAUUGCUGAACUAAAAGAAAUACUUAAAUAUGCGAAUUUCAGGUGAAGAUUUCAAAAUUUGCUGGUAAAAAUGAUCAAUGAUCUUUCUGAAAUCAGACCCAAACAAGCAGACAAUUCAACUCAGUACUUGGAGAGCAAAGUCAGCAAUGUAGAGAGGAAAAGGUCAAUAAGCUGG